GACGAACGCUGGCGGCGUGCUUAACACAUGCAAGUCGAGCGGUAAGGCCCUUUCGGGGGUACGACGAGCGGCGAACGGGUGAGUAACACGUGGGUGACCUGCCCUCAGCUCUGGGAUAAGCCUGGGAAACCGGGUCUAAUACCGGAUAUGACUCCAUGACGCAUGUUGUGGGGUGGAAAGCCUUGUGCGGCUGAGGAUGGGCCCGCGGCCUAUCAGCUUGUUGGUGGGGUGAGGCCUACCAAGGCGACGACGGGUAGCCGGCCUGAGAGGGCGACCGGCCACACUGGGACUGAGACACGGCCCAGACUCCUACGGGAGGCAGCAGUGGGGAAUCUUGCGCAAUGGGCGAAAGCCUGACGCAGCGACGCCGCGUGAGGGAUGACGGCCUUGG
This 391-nucleotide ribosomal RNA is filed under the name uncultured bacterium. RNAcentral describes it as "bacterial SSU rRNA". It matches the Rfam family "Bacterial small subunit ribosomal RNA", at positions 28 to 420 of the family's 1533-position model. The record is from RNAcentral.